CCUACGGGUGGCUGCAGUGGGGAAUAUUGGACAAUGGGCGAAAGCCUGAUCCAGCCAUGCCGCGUGUGUGAAGAAGGCCUUCGGGUUGUAAAGCACUUUCAGUGGGGAAGAAAGCCUUGGGGCUAAUACCCUCGAGGAAGGACAUCACCCACAGAAGAAGCACCGGCUAACUCCGUGCCAGCAGCCGCGGUAAUACGGAGGGUGCGAGCGUUAAUCGGAAUUACUGGGCGUAAAGCGCGCGUAGGCGGUCUGAUAAGCCGGUUGUGAAAGCCCCGGGCUCAACCUGGGAGCGGCAUCCGGAACUGUCAGGCUAGAGUGCAGGAGAGGAAGGUAGAAUUCCCGGUGUAGCGGUGAAAUGCGUAGAGAUCGGGAGGAAUACCAGUGGCGAAGGCGGCCUUCUGGACUGACACUGACGCUGAGGUGCGAAAGCGUGGGUAGCAAACAGGAUUAGAUACCCCUGUAGUC
This 465-nucleotide ribosomal RNA is filed under the name Vreelandella stevensii. Its description in RNAcentral is "partial 16S ribosomal RNA". It matches the Rfam family "Bacterial small subunit ribosomal RNA", at positions 338 to 795 of the family's 1533-position model. The record is from RNAcentral. Lineage: Bacteria; Pseudomonadati; Pseudomonadota; Gammaproteobacteria; Oceanospirillales; Halomonadaceae.